Long non-coding RNA from Carassius auratus (goldfish), 1406 nucleotides. RefSeq lists it as uncharacterized. NCBI's taxonomy places the organism in Eukaryota, Metazoa, Chordata, Actinopteri, Cypriniformes, Cyprinidae. The record is from RefSeq and is a predicted model, not a curated record. The transcript has 3 exons.
UAUGAUGCAGUAUUAUUCAAUCAAUAUGGUAUUGAUUAAUAAUCAGUAUUGAAGAUGUGUUUCUAGGUUGGGUAUCAGGUCUACUUUACGAAUGCAGGCAGCGGCUGAAGAAUGCAUUACUUCUUAAUCUUUUUAGGGGUCCAGUCACUGAAGGUAUGUUUGUAUUGAAAGGAGUGAAAUUAUAUCCUUAUGAAAUGUAUUCCUCAAGCCAAAACUCAGGAACUCACAGAAAACAGAUACCAUGCUGCCAUGCAAUAAAACAAUAAAACUGAUCUGGAAAAGAGAUCUUCAAUGAGUAAACAACACCUAUCGUCUUGCUAAUUUACGACCUCCUUCCUCCAUCUUCCUCUCCUCUCACCUCCAUGCCUCUGACUCUCACUCUUCUCAACCAAAAGCAAGAAUAUCCAUAUGCCAUGUUAUAUCUUAUGAAUAUGUUCUUUUUUACACUUCAUGUUUAGUAUCAUUUUAAAGGUCUCUGUGCUAUUGGUAAAUUUGUCUCAAUUUCACAGUAGUCACUUGUAUUAUAAGAAAGAUUGAGAACAUUGGAAGAAUUGUGUUCUGCUAAGAAGUGGGUGUGUUCAACUUUAGGGGUCUUUGAGAAUGUUUAACUCCAGCCCGGCUUGACCCUGAUGUGACCACGGGAACCUAAAGAACCAAAAUGACUUUUUAUGUUUUUACAACUGAUUUGAAGAUUUCUUUGUUGUCUGGUCUGAGGAUUUAAAGGAAGUGACAAAACAAUAUGGAAAAACCCUCAUGCAUUGUGAGAGUCUCUGGAGCUCUGCACCAGAACUCUGCUGUCUUUCUCUCUGCUGUCAGGUUAAGGUGAUUAGUGAUCUCCCAUAAACUGGCUUGCUCCUCAUCACUGGAGUCUCUGAAACUCACACAUCUCUUGGUCCUCGUGGAAUGUGAGGGUGCAUACAGAUACAGAUAGCACAGAGCUUCCCCAUCAAUGUGAAGCACAGCGAGCAGUAAUGGUCUGUUAAAGGAAAUCAUUUUGUCCAGCAGGUUGGUCUAACAGUUUGUUUCUUUUUGCCAGUUAUAGAUGAUCUGAAAUACAGUCCUUUCUCUAAAGCAUGUAAACCAACAUUUGCAGCGAAGGGUAGGGCAGAUAUGCACUUCAUCAUCAUGACCUCCCGUUUCUUACACUUUCCCACAGGACAUGCACAAUAUCCAGGAGCCUGGCUAUGGUGGCAUCACCUGGUAGGCUGCAAAAAUAUGAGGAAGUGUGUGUAUUCAUUUACUUUCCCCCAUGACUUUUCAUUUAAUUUUUAGUUAAAUUAUUUCUGGGGAGAAAUUGAAAUAUUCCCUGAGAAAGUGUUUUAAAAUUUUACUUUUAGAUAAUACCUAAUAGAUAACAGCAUUUAUUUGAAAUAUAUUAUUUUGUAACAAUGUAAUAUGAUCACUUU